GCGCAAUGGGCGAAAGCCUGACGCAGCAACGCCGCGUGCAGGAUGAAGGCCUUCGGGUUGUAAACCGCUUUCAGCAGGGACGAAACUGACGGUACCUGCAGAAGAAGCCCCGGCCAACUACGUGCCAGCAGCCGCGGUAACACGUAGGGGGCGAGCGUUGUCCGGAUUUAUUGGGCGUAAAGAGCUCGUAGGCGGUUUCGUAAGUCGGGUGUGAAAACCCCAGGCUCAACCUGGGGACGCCACCCGAGACUGCGAUGACUAGAGUCCGGUAGGGGAGCGUGGAAUUCCUGGUGUAGCGGUGAAAUGCGCAGAUAUCAGGAGGAACACCAACGGCGAAGGCAGCGCUCUGGGCCGGAACUGACGCUGAGGAGCGAAAGCGUGGGUAGCGAACAGGAUUAGAUACCCUGGUAGUCCACGCCGUAAACGUUGGGCACUAGGUGUGGGAUCUUUCCAACGGAUUCCGUGCCGUAGCUAACGCAUUAAGUGCCCCGCCUGGGGAGUACGGCCGCAAGGCUA
RNAcentral lists this ribosomal RNA (516 nucleotides) under uncultured Actinomycetes bacterium. Its description in RNAcentral is "bacterial SSU rRNA". It matches the Rfam family "Bacterial small subunit ribosomal RNA", at positions 366 to 896 of the family's 1533-position model. Lineage: Bacteria; Bacillati; Actinomycetota; Actinomycetes. The record is from RNAcentral.